CCAAUCUGACCCGUGUUCGAUCCGCCAUAAACAGGUUUGGGUUUAGGCUAAAUGGGUUUGGGUCAUAAAUGGAUCGACCCAUUUAAUCCAUUUAAUAAUUGGAUCGGAUAUGGAUUUUAGAUAUCUGAUCCGUUUAACUCGUUUAACCCGUUUAAUAUUUAAGUUGGGUUGAGUCAGAUAACUCAUUUAACCUGUUUAACCUAUUUAACCUAUUUCUAACCCAUUUAACCCAACUUGUUUAACCUGUUU
RNAcentral lists this long non-coding RNA (249 nucleotides) under Elaeis guineensis (African oil palm). RNAcentral describes it as "long non-coding RNA (EGUI_LNC064989)". Lineage: Eukaryota; Viridiplantae; Streptophyta; Magnoliopsida; Arecales; Arecaceae. The record is from RNAcentral.